AUUGGCCACUGGCGCUGUCGCGCAUCCCGAACUCCGCGGCCUGACACCGCCUCCCCCGCCGCCUCUCGCCUCUCGCCCGUCGCGGCGGGGGCGCGGGAGGGGAUCCCCGGGGCGCCCCGGGACAGGCGGCCAGCUCGGGAUCGGAAGCGAGCAACAGGCUAGUUCUGCAGAGAACCAUAUCUGUAUUCACAGGACCCAUUUCUACAUAGAGGUUGCAAAAUAGAAGAUGUUAUCAGGAUUGAUGUGGUUGCUCCCAUCUGCUCCCCCAAAUGAUGAGGUCUGCAGUACCAUUGGAAUAAAGUCUACUCCUACAGAACUCUACAGAAACAAUCCAGGAUUCUUUUAUGCUUUUCCAGUCCUCUCUUGUUUUCUUUCCCCUCCGCCCAUACCCACCUCUCAUGGAGCAGAAGUGGAACGGAACUGCCACAUGUAUGCUGAAAAUCCAAAAGCCAAAUUUUGGGCUCGUUUUAUAAAACACUUUGGAUGCAAAUCAGCUUCCUCCGAGAAUAUUUCAGUGUUUCACCUACUAUCCCAAAGAAGACUGCUUAAAAAAAAAAACCUGACAUCUUAUCUGCUACCAUCUGUGUACCCUCAGAGAGUCAACAAGAGAAGAGCAAGGGCCAGAAACCAGAACACAGGUGAAAAUAGGUGGAAACAGCAACAGAAGAUAAGGACAUAUUCACGAUGACAGUAAAUUGCUGACACAGAUGAGGACUGAACUCAGAUCUCCUGUGCCUCACCCUGCUUCCUCCCUCUCUAAGGCUGCAGUGCUGGGAUUCAGCAGGAGCUGUGCAGAGGGCAGGGCUGGGCCCAGAAAGCUGCAGGAAGCUGCAGAGCCAUGAUGUUCUACCCAGUGAAGUUUCCUAUGGGUCUAGGCAGCAGGACCAGCCUUGUGCUGCUUUUUUUUUUGCUUUUUUUUUUAUGUUAUGUUGUUUUCAGCACCUACAAUAGUUUCUUGGCAAUUUCUAUUUCUAGCAUAGUGCAUCUAUAUGAGCAACCUCCCAUAGCUCUCUGCCAGUCUCUCAUCUGUAGGUUCUGGACACUGGAACAUCACACAGCACUGAGGAACCUCCAGGUGAAGUAAAACCAACAUGUGUUGCUUCUCUAACAGUACCUAAACUUUACACCUGACUGACAACAGGUUUCACUACUAUAAGAUCCCAUACAGAAUUAUUUGGAAAGGCAGGGAGCAGUGGCAGAGUUGUUCUAGAGGACAGAAUGUGCUUUUGAAACAACAGACAAGACUAUCAGAAAAUCAAAGGGGAAUAGAGAAAUGAGAAUGGGGAGAGAACAGAAUUAAGUGUACUGACUGAGCCUGAAACAAGUUUACAUAAGGCUUGAUGGUGACACACUUCUUCUUAAGUUAAUGCUAUGUUAGUAUAUGUAGGGUAAAUUAUUACUGACUUGAGGGCAUCAAAAUCACACUCAUCAGGCUUUAAAAGUAAGAAAGCUACUGUCUGGAAACAUCACUGAAAUUAACAGUCAGUUAAACUGUUUUAGCAUAGGCAAACAGGUCAACCUGCUUUGAAUUUGUUAAGCAGCAAUGCUUUGAAAUGGCUGUGGUUGAUGCUUUUAAGAGUGAUUCACAGAUAUGCUUUAGAAGCUAUGCUUGAAUUAAGAAAGAAAAGGGAACUGCAUAUUAAAUGUAUUCCAAAAGAGAGAGCACACCCAAAUUUAGCUUCAACUUUUCUUUUUCAGUCAUCUGGCAGCAAUGGGAAGCCACGAUGGGUACAAUCAUCUCAUGUAGCUUAAGCUGCCCAAAAAAGGAAAAGAAAAGUUAAGAAAAAGCUAUGCACUGUAUUUUGUCUCUAAAAUAUUUAUAGGCAAAGCACUAAUAUCUAGCCAUCUGUUAUGUUGCAUCUCAUGGUUCCUCCAGGUAAAUAAAAUAUUUGUUCAAUGAACUCA
Molecule: long non-coding RNA, 1905 nt
Filed under: Parus major (Great Tit)
Lineage: Eukaryota; Metazoa; Chordata; Aves; Passeriformes; Paridae
Description: lncRNA (ENSPMJG00000003859.1)
Source: RNAcentral